UUCCAUAUAUGUGUUUCAUUUUUUUUCCAGCGGGGCAAGGACUUUUUUUUUCAUUAAUUGAAGCGGGGCAAGAACUUUUUUUAUAAUGAAUAUUGGCGGGGCAUACAGUUUUUUUUUUUUUAAUAUUUGCUGUACACCGGCCCCACCCUCAGAUAAAUAUUGCACAGUCCCUUAGAUAUUGUUUAUAUGAUAUCGAACAAUUAUUGCGCUAAGACUGACCCUGUUUAACCAAACACUUUUUAUUGCUUUUCACUGGGUUUUUUUUAUGUAAGUGCAUCUUCUUUGCACCGUAAAAGUCUAACAAUAAAAUUAUUUCACCAAUUUGCUCGUUAUAUGCUCAGAACUUGAAAAAUAAUUUUGACCGAAGCCAUCCGGAGAUUUCAUGAGAGUUAUUUCCCCUUAUGCAUUUGAUAUAAGGAAUAUGCACUUGUAACUGGUAAACCAUAAGUGGUAGAGACUUAAGGUCUUUUGAUUGGAGGUCCAUUGUACAAAAAAUAAAAAUAAGGUCAAGGUCAAAGUUCAUGUUCUUAAUAAUUGAGUUUGGCUUAUUUUCACUGCUUUUCAGAAACCGUAUAAUAUAUUGACAAAUACUUUGAACUAAAUUGUAAGUUAUGACAUGUCGCAACAAAUACAAUUUGGUUGAAAAAUUGCAUAGACAUUUAGUGGGAGUUUUAGCCCCUCAUAUAUUUAGAAUCUGCGUAUAGUAAUUUAACUCAUUAACCAUAUAUGAUAAAGACCUAGGGUCUUUUGAUGAUAUCCUUGGUUUAAGACCUUGGAAUUUAGUUCAAUGUCAAAUGUCAAAUUGAUAUUUUAAAUUUUAACCUUUGCUUUAGAUUCAAAUUUAUACAUGAUAAAGCCUUUGGAUUUUUUGCAUUUGGUUAGUACAUAUUUAACAUUGACAAUGUCAACCAGAAGUGACCUUUUUCAAACCGGAAGUAACAAUUUAUCUCCUUAAUUUAAAGCAAAAGAAUAUAGAUCUAAGCUAUAUAUUUUUGGAAUCAGAGGACAGUAAGCUAUUAUUUGACAUCCGAAAUAAAUUUGAAUUAACCGGAAGUGGCUUAUUAUCUUUCUUAAUUGAUAAAAAAAGUUCCACCAACAUUGUAUUUUCAAAAUCAGUAUUUCAUUUUAACCCUGGAAAUAUUGUUUUUUUUUAUCAAAAUGUUAAUUUGAGUAGAAAGACCAUUAAUUACCUCAGUAUUUCAUUAGAAUAAAGUAAAACUUGUAUGAUUGUUUUGAUAUAAUAUGUACAUUUUGUAAAAGAUAAAAGGCACCUAAACUAGGUUGAGCGCCUGAAAAUAAGUAAUGUCCUUUUCCCCAAUUUGUUUUAAUAAUUUUUCUCUGAACGAUUGUUUUUCAACUAUAUAUCAAACAGCCGUUUGAAAAGAAUAGGGGAAUAUACAAAAUAAAUACUUAAUGAAAAUAAAACUGUAUAAAUGUGAUGCAUCUGACGUCUUUUCCCCCCAAAUCAUUUGAAAGCAAAGGUUGAGCAAAUAUUUGAAUAUUCAGAGGCUAAAUGUAUAUGACCAAAAGUAACAUAAAAUACAAUAUAGAAAUACUUGUAUACAUUCUAAUAUUACAUCCUUUUUUUGCGUUGUAAACAACACCGUGAUAAAAUUUUCGAUAUAUCUAUGAUUAGAACAGACUCAGAGAUAUAUACACAUGGAAAAAAGUAUUGCACACCUGAUUUUUUAAAACUUGAAAAAUCAGCCUCUUUAA
This 1716-nucleotide long non-coding RNA is filed under the name Mytilus galloprovincialis (Mediterranean mussel). Lineage: Eukaryota; Metazoa; Mollusca; Bivalvia; Mytilida; Mytilidae. The record is from RNAcentral.